RNAcentral lists this transfer RNA (55 nucleotides) under Mesocricetus auratus (golden hamster). It matches the Rfam family "tRNA", at positions 8 to 63 of the family's 71-position model. Rfam says of the family: Transfer RNA (tRNA) molecules are approximately 80 nucleotides in length. Their secondary structure includes four short double-helical elements and three loops (D, anti-codon, and T loops). Further hydrogen bonds mediate the characteristic L-shaped molecular structure. tRNAs have two regions of fundamental functional importance: the anti-codon, which is responsible for specific mRNA codon recognition, and the 3' end, to which the tRNAs corresponding amino acid is attached (by aminoacyl-tRNA synthetases). tRNAs cope with the degeneracy of the genetic code in two manners: having more than one tRNA (with a specific anti-codon) for a particular amino acid; and 'wobble' base-pairing, i.e. permitting non-standard base-pairing at the 3rd anti-codon position. Lineage: Eukaryota; Metazoa; Chordata; Mammalia; Rodentia; Cricetidae. The record is from Rfam by way of RNAcentral.
UGGCUCAGUGGUUAAGAGCACUGGCUGUUCCAGAGGUCCUGAGUUCAAUUCUCAG